AGAGUUUGAUCCUGGCUCAGGACGAACGCUGGCGGCGUGCCUAACACAUGCAAGUCGAGCGGAGGCAAUAGCAAUAUUGUCUUAGCGGCGGACGGGUGAGUAACGCGUGGGCAACCUGCCUAUCACAGGGGGAUAACACAGGGAAACUUGUGCUAAUACCGCAUAAUACAGCGAGAAAGCAUUUUCUUGUUGUCAAAGGA
This 200-nucleotide ribosomal RNA is filed under the name uncultured bacterium. RNAcentral describes it as "partial 16S ribosomal RNA". It matches the Rfam family "Bacterial small subunit ribosomal RNA", at positions 8 to 208 of the family's 1533-position model. The record is from RNAcentral.